RNAcentral lists this ribosomal RNA (238 nucleotides) under Enterobacteriaceae bacterium. RNAcentral describes it as "partial 16S ribosomal RNA". It matches the Rfam family "Bacterial small subunit ribosomal RNA", at positions 534 to 771 of the family's 1533-position model. Lineage: Bacteria; Pseudomonadati; Pseudomonadota; Gammaproteobacteria; Enterobacterales; Enterobacteriaceae. The record is from RNAcentral.
GCAAGCGUUAAUCGGAAUUACUGGGCGUAAAGCGCACGUAGGCGGUUUGUUAAGUCAGAUGUGAAAUCCCCGAGCUCAACCUGGGAACUGCAUUUGAAACUGGCGAGCUAGAGUCUGGUAGAGGGGGGUAGAAUUUCAGGUGUAGCGGUGAAAUGCGUAGAGAUAUGGAGGAACACCGGUGGCGAAGGCGGCCCCCUGGACAAAGACUGACGCUCAGGUGCGAAAGCGUGGGGAGCAA